RNAcentral lists this ribosomal RNA (497 nucleotides) under uncultured bacterium. RNAcentral's name for it is "partial 16S ribosomal RNA". It matches the Rfam family "Bacterial small subunit ribosomal RNA", at positions 28 to 507 of the family's 1533-position model. The record is from RNAcentral.
GAUGAACGCUGGCGGCGUGCCUAAUACAUGCAAGUCGAGCGAACAGAUGAGGAGGUUGCUCCUCUGACGUUGGCGGCGGACGGGUGAGUAACACGUGGAUAACCUACCUGUAAGGCUGGGAUAACUUCGGGAAACCGGAGCUCAUACCGGAUACUAUAUUGAACCGCAUGGUUCAAUAGUAAAAGACGGUUUUGCUGUCACUUAUAGAUUGAUACGGGCCGCAUUAGCUAGUUGGUAAGGUAACGGCUUACCAAGGCAACGAUGAGUAGCCGCCAUGGGAAGGUGAGCGGCCACACUGGAACUGAGACACGGUCAAGACUCCAACGGGAGGCAGCCGUAGGGACUCUGGCGCAAUGGGGGGAAGACUGAUGGACCAACGCGGCGACAGUGAUGAAGGUCUUCGGUUCGUAAGACGAAGUUAUUAGGAUAGAAAAGAGGUGUAAGUAACGAUGCAGUACGUGACGGUACCUAAACAGAAAGCCACGGCUAAAUACGUG